Molecule: long non-coding RNA, 1265 nt
Organism: Canis lupus familiaris (dog)
Lineage: Eukaryota; Metazoa; Chordata; Mammalia; Carnivora; Canidae
Exons: 3
Source: RefSeq, a predicted model, not a curated record
GUUGGCAGGAAGUAAGCCUAGAGCCCCCUGGGAGUCACCCACUGGGGAAAUUCUGCCUGAGAUGAAGCUAAUCCUGAAAAUCAGAGCUGAGAAGAUGGAGCAGGUGUCAGCUCACAGCUCACCUCCUCAGAUCCCUCAGCCCUGCUCCUCCUACUCGAGACAACAGGUUGGAAACAACAGUAGAGAAUCCUGGUGACCCUGCAGAGGGUGAGUUGGAGAGAGGCCACAGUGCGGACUCGGGGAGGCUGAAUAAGGAACUCCAUCUGUUCAGGAGUUCUCUUGCCAUCAUUCAUCAGCAUGGUCUCCCAUCCUGCUGUGGAUGGACUUUUUCCAGGCAGCAGAGCACAUGACCACAGGCCUCCCAGCUGGUAACCAGAAAGGAAAGGGAUGGGGUGAUCCAACUCCCUGUUGCCACUUGAAAAAUCCUGGGAAAGGGCUUUGAUGGGCUUGGCUUGGGUCAGGUACACACCCUGGUCAGAAAAGGGCACCGUGGCCAGGACCCAGUACCUGCUUGUACUCCAGGUGGUGGGGGAAACUGGGGGCCCUCAUGAAGGCCGUGAGGAUCAGUUACACAGGGAAAGCAGGAGGAGGAGUGGAGCCAAGGAAAUAAAGAUGAUUCAGCAUUUGCUAACUACAGUGACUAGGUGAAAGUGAGGUCAUUAACUAAAAGGGAGAAUACAGGAAGAAAAGUCUGGAGUGUUCUAUUAUGAACUUGAAAUCGGAAGACUUGGGGGCAUCUAAGAGGAAAAACUUCAUAGAUUAUUGGAAAUAUAGUUCUGGAGCUCGGAACAGUGUUGGCAGUCCCAGCCACCUGAUGAAGUCAUGGGCGUGCCAACUCCAUACCAGAAAGGUGGAAGGUGCCACCUUGUCUGGCAGCCUAGAAGCAGAGGCCUCUCCUUGUAAGGAGGCCCCUUGGUGAGGGAGACGUUGGCUCAUUACAAGGAAGGAGAGGUUGGAAGUCAUUAGAGGCGUGCUAUCACAUUUCUGUUUAAUGCCUCAGCAUCCAGUGACUCAGCAGGGCCGCUCCUGCCACUUAUUCCAAAGCACUGGGAGUUGUUGGGCAAAUAUUUGAAUAGCAUUCAGGUCCUAAACCUGCAAUGCCCUGACUUCUCCCCCACCCUCUCUGUUGCAGAACCUCCUGCCUCUGUGUAGACACCCUCUCAGAUUCUUUAAACCCAGCUACAGCAGGGGCCAUUGAACCACUCAAAGCUCAAGUCUUUGAGCUUCCACAAACAGCCCCCUACCAAGGAAGAUGUCACUGAGGG